CGAACCCACUAACGUUGAAAAGUUAGGGGAUGAGCUGUGGAUAGGGGUGAAAGGCUAAACAAACCUGGAAAUAGCUGGUUCUCUCCGAAAACUAUUUAGGUAGUGCCUCGUGUCUCACCUUCGGGGGUAGAGCACUGUCAUGGUUGGGGGGUCUAUUGCAGAUUACCCCGCCAUAGCAAACUCCGAAUACCGAAGAGUGCAAUCACGGGAGACAGACAUCGGGUGCUAACGUCCGGUGUCAAGAGGGAAACAACCCAGACCGCCAGCUAAGGUCCCCAAAUAUGGCUAAGUGGGAAACGAAGUGGGAAGGCUAAAACAGUCAGGAGGUUGGCUUAGAAGCAGCCACCCUUUAAAGAAAGCGUAAUAGCUCACUGAUCGAGUCGUCCUGCGCGGAAGAUGUAACGGGGCUAAGCCAUAUACCGAAGCUGCGGAUGCGUGCUUGCACGCAUGGUAGGAGAGCGUUCCGUAAGCCUGCGAAGGUGCCUUGUAAAGGGUGCUGGAGGUAUCGGAAGUGCGAAUGCUGACAUGAGUAGCGAUAAAGGGGGUGAAAGGCCCCCUCGCCGUAAGCCCAAGGUUUCCUACGCAACGUUCAUCGGCGUAGGGUGAGUCGGCCCCUAAGGCGAGGCAGAAAUGCGUAGCUGAUGGGAAGCAGGUCAAUAUUCCUGCACCAUUGUUAGAUGCGAUGGGGGGACGGAUCGCGGAAGGUUGUCCGGGUGUUGGACGUCCCGGUCGCUGCAUUGGAGAAGGCGCUUAGGCAAAUCCGGGCGCGGAAUUCAAGGGUGUGGCGCGAGCUCCUUAGGGAGCGAAGCAAUUGGAAGUGGUUCCAAGAAAAGCCUCUAAGCUUCAGUCUAACGAUGACCGUACCGCAAACCGACACAGGUGGGCGAGAUGAGUAUUCUAAGGCGCUUGAGAGAACUCGGGAGAAGGAACUCGGCAAAUUGGUACCGUAACUUCGGGAUAAGGUACGCCCUUGUAGCUUGACUGGCCUGCGCCAGGAGGGUGAAGGGGUUGCAAUAAACUGGUGGCUGCGACUGUUUAAUAAAAACACAGCACUCUGCAAACACGAAAGUGGACGUAUAGGGUGUGACGCCUGCCCGGUGCCGGAAGAUUAAAUGAUGGGGUGCAAGCUCUUGAUUGAAGUCCCGGUAAACGGCGGCCGUAACUAUAACGGUCCUAAGGUAGCGAAAUUCCUUGUCGGGUAAGUUCCGACCUGCACGAAUGGCGUAACGAUGGCCACACUGUCUCCUCCCGAGACUCAGCGAAGUUGAAGUGUUUGUGAUGAUGCAAUCUACCCGCGGCUAGACGGAGAGACCCCAUGAACCUUUACUGUAGCUUUGCAUUGGACUUUGAACCGAUCUGUGUAGGAUAGGUGGGAGGCUAUGAAACCGGAACGCUAGUUUCGGUGGAGCCGUCCUUGAAAUACCACCCUGGUUUGUUUGAGGUUCUAACCUUGGUCCGUGAUCCGGAUCGGGGACAGUGCAUGGUAGGCAGUUUGACUGGGGCGGUCUCCUCCCAAAGGGUAACGGAGGAGUACGAAGGUACGCUAGGUACGGUCGGAAAUCGUGCUGAUAGUGCAAUGGCAUAAGCGUGCUUAACUGCGAGACCGACAAGUCGAGCAGGUGCGAAAGCAGGUCAUAGUGAUCCGGUGGUUCUGUAUGGAAGGGCCAUCGCUCAACGGAUAAAAGGUACUCUGGGGAUAACAGGCUGAUACCGCCCAAGAGUUCAUAUCGACGGCGGUGUUUGGCACCUCGAUGUCGGCUCAUCUCAUCCUGGGGCUGUAGCCGGUCCCAAGGGUAUGGCUGUUCGCCAUUUAAAGAGGUACGUGAGCUGGGUUUAAAACGUCGUGAGACAGUUUGGUCCCUAUCUGCCGUGGGCGUUGGAUAUUUGAAGGGGGCUGCUCCUAGUACGAGAGGACCGGAGUGGACGAACCUCUGGUGUACCGGUUGUGACGCCAGUCGCAUCGCCGGGUAGCUAUGUUCGGAAGAGAUAACCGCUGAAAGCAUCUAAGCGGGAAACUCGCCUUAAGAUGAGAUAUCCCUGGAGGCUUGACCUCCUUGAAGGGUCGUUCGAGACCAGGACGUUGAUAGGUCGGGUGUGUAAGCGCAGUAAUGCGUUCAGCUAACCGAUACUAAUUGCCCGUAAGGCUUGAUCCUAUAACA
This 2159-nucleotide ribosomal RNA is filed under the name Burkholderia multivorans. RNAcentral's name for it is "bacterial LSU rRNA". It matches the Rfam family "Bacterial large subunit ribosomal RNA", at positions 775 to 2925 of the family's 2925-position model. Lineage: Bacteria; Pseudomonadati; Pseudomonadota; Betaproteobacteria; Burkholderiales; Burkholderiaceae. The record is from RNAcentral.